RNAcentral lists this ribosomal RNA (423 nucleotides) under uncultured bacterium. Its description in RNAcentral is "bacterial SSU rRNA". It matches the Rfam family "Bacterial small subunit ribosomal RNA", at positions 207 to 622 of the family's 1533-position model. The record is from RNAcentral.
AAGACCUUGCGCUUUUGGAGCGGCCGAUGUCUGAUUAGCUAGUUGGUGGGGUAAUGGCCUACCAAAGCUUCGAUCAGUAGCUGGUCUGAGAGGACGGCCAGCCACACUGGGACUGAGACACGGCCCAGACUCCUACGGGAGGCAGCAGUGGGGAAUUUUGGACAAUGGGCGCAAGCCUGAUCCAGCCAUGCCGCGUGAGUGAAGAAGGCCUUCGGGUUGUAAAGCUCUUUCAGCCGGGAAGAAAAGGCUGCGACUAAUAUUCGCAGUUCAUGACGGUACCGGAAGAAGAAGCACCGGCUAACUACGUGCCAGCAGCCGCGGUAAUACGUAGGGUGCGAGCGUUAAUCGGAAUUACUGGGCGUAAAGGGUGCGCAGGCGGUUUUGUAAGUCAGAUGUGAAAUCCCCGGGCUUAACCUGGGAACU